GGAGUGAGGAAGGCUUCAUGCGAAGGAGCAUCUGCAAUGGGCUUUGGAGAUUGGGUUAAAAAUAGUUUUUCAAUUUAGAUUUCUAUUGAGAUUUAAUUGACCUAUAACACUGUGUAAGUUCAAGGUGUACACCAUGUUGAUUUGAUACACUUAUGUAUUGUAGUAUGAUUACUACCAUGGUGUUAGCUAACACCUCCAUCAUGUCACGUAAUUAGCAUUUCUCUUUUUUUUGGUGAGAGCACAAGAUCCACUCUCUCAGCAACUUUCAAGUAUGUCAUACAGUAUUAUCGGCUAUAAUCACCAGGCUGUGCAUUAGAUCCCCAGAACUGAUUUAUCUUAUAACUGGAACUUUGUGCCCUUGACCAACACUGCCCCUUUUCCCCGCCCCCAGCCCCUGGUAACCACCAUUCCACUCUCUGUUUGUAUGAGUUUGGAUUUCUUAGAUUCCACAUGUCAGUGAGAUCAUACAGUAUUUCUCUUUCUGUGUCUGACCUAUCUCACUCACAUAGAGAAGAUGCAGUGUAUAUACAUAUACACACACAUGUGCACUCCCACACACACACACAACAGCCUAUUAUUCAGCCAUGAGAAAGAAAGAAAUCCUGCCAUUCGUGACAACGUGGAUGGAUCUUGAGGGUGUUACACUAAAAACAGUUUUUCAGUUGAGGUGAAAUUCACAGGAAGAAGUUGGUUUGGAGUGACAGAUAUGGGAGCAAUCCAAACGACAAUGAAACCCCAGGAGCUGGUGAGAGUGCCAGGAGAACGGGCCCACAAAAGGAAGAGAGAGAAUGGAGGGCACAGCUCUUGAGGCCUCCAGAACUCCACGUCAGCAAGACAGCAAGGGCCCCCCGGAGGAAACGGGCUUCGAGAUGACAGGUCACACGGUGCAGCGAGGAGCGCGUGAGAGAGAGGGCCAGGGGAUGGCCGCGCGCUUCUGGAGAGGCCAGACAGAAGAGUGGGAAAAGUGCGCGUAAACUUGGCAAAUCCAAGCCCGUUAAUGACCCUCUAGGGCGUGGUUUGAGCAGAAAUCUUUAACCUCCUUCUUCAAUCUGAGUUAAAGACUAAGACGUGGAAUAUAAGAAAGCAUGAAGAAGCUUCCAGAAUGGGAUAACUUCUGUGAAAAGCAGGAUCCUGUUGGAAUGGUCACCAACACAUCUGAAGGUAAAAUAGAUCGUCCUGGAAAAUAAAAGUUGCUAGCCUCUGCUAAAGCUGGGAUUUUCAGGAACAAAAGCAGGAGCACAGGUCAAGUGGGAUUUCCAGGGCCCUAUCUUAGCAAGACAGGUGGAAGCAACAAACCACAGGUCGUCAUUGGAAGAAGUGUGUGAGAGAGAUUCAGAGGACAGCCCUCCAAAUAAAGAGUCUUGUGCUUGUUUAAUGAAACAUCAAAGAAGCACCUGGAGAGACCACAGGAUCAUGAAAACGCACGUGAGCAGUGUUCCUGCUGGCUCAGAAGGUGUGUGAUGGCACCAGACAGACUCUGACUCCCUGCCACCAGAAACAGAGUAAAUUCAUCUCUACCCUGCGCACGGAGAAGCUGUUCCUCCUCGUAGGAGUUCACAGUGAGCCUCCGAGCAGUGGGGAUAGCACCCCGUGGCAAUCAGUGUCGACGGGUCUGGAGCAGGCCUUACACCGCUGAGAUGGCUUCUCUUCCUUUCGUCUCUAAACUGCUUCUCCCCCCAGAUUUCUUUUUGCUCUUAUCCUUUGGCAAAAAGUGUGCAUCUACCCUUCGUAGCAAACUGAGCAGAUUCCACUGUAUGUUCUUCAGGGGCAAAUUAGGACUCAGAGCUCCACAUUCUCCAGAAGCGAUAAAGGCCAUGUCACUUAAUCCCUUUGCUGGGUCUUGACCAGCCUUGGGAGGGCAGCUUCAAAGACCGAAGUGGUGCAGAGCCCUGGCCCGACUGGAUCCCGUCCCCUUAUGUUUCCAUGCUUCCCCGCUUUUGAUGAUGCUACUGCGCUGGGAGCAGGAACUGAAGGCGGGUGCUCUGACACUCAGAGACACAUCUCUCAACACAAGAAGUAGGAGAAAGGGUUCAAUCGUCUUAGCAGGAACUGGAGAUGUGUGCACAAGAUGCACUGCUCAGCGUGUCUGGGAGCCCCAGAGCUGCCGCAAGAGGAUAGGCAGCCCACGGAUGGAGAAAUGAUUUUAAGGAGAAGAGACCGUGGGCCUGUAAAUGCAAGUAGCUGCCAUUUAUGGAGCAUUCGUCUGCUCUUUGAAUUCCCGCGAGAACCAGCGCCCACGCACGAGUAGCGGUGGAGUUUGGUUGGACAAAUGACUUUCCUGUCCUCUGCGUCCUCAUCCAUGCCUAGAGGGGAAUGAUGGCCUAAUGCUGGCAGAGGAUUCCAUAGUUUCUUAACUCAUCCUGCUAACACAGUCUAGCACCUUCCAAGGAGUACAGGAUGUGGAGAUAUUUAACAACUAUUGUACUUGUUCUCAGAUUUGGGGGCCUCAGCUGAAACUCUGAAUCAACAGGAAAAGUCACAUCUUAACAUAGUAUUAUGUAUAUGUCAUAGGCUCUUACUAGUAGUUCUUCGGUGUAUUAUGAUUUAAAUCAUGUUCCUUGACAAAAUAAAUUUGGAAAACACUGCUCUAUUGUUUUGCUUUUAAGUAUGAUGUAAGCUAUUGGUUUGGGAUAACUUUUUAAUCUUGUUAAGGGAGUAUUCUAUAUGCAAUUUAUUUAACUUUUUAUCAGAAAUGGAUAUUAAAUUUUGUUAAAUGCCUUUGACAUUUGUCAAGAUGAACAUAAAGUUUGUCUCUUUUGACCCAUUGAUGUGAUCAAUGAUAUUUUUAGAUUUCCCAAUAUUGAAU
Molecule: long non-coding RNA, 2806 nt
Filed under: Equus caballus (horse)
Lineage: Eukaryota; Metazoa; Chordata; Mammalia; Perissodactyla; Equidae
Description: lncRNA (ENSECAG00000036657.3)
Source: RNAcentral